This 476-nucleotide ribosomal RNA is filed under the name uncultured bacterium. Its description in RNAcentral is "bacterial SSU rRNA". It matches the Rfam family "Bacterial small subunit ribosomal RNA", at positions 25 to 518 of the family's 1533-position model. The record is from RNAcentral.
CAGGACGAACGCUGGCGGCGUGCCUAACACAUGCAAGUCGAGCGAGGAGAUUCCUUCGGGAUGAUCCUAGCGGCGGACGGGUGAGUAACACGUGGGCAACCUGCCUCAUAGAGAGGAAUAGCCUUCCGAAAGGGAGAUUAAUACCUCAUAACAUUGCAGUUUCGCAUGGAACAGCAAUUAAAGGAGCAAUCCGCUAUGAGAUGGGCCCGCGGCGCAUUAGCUAGUUGGUGAGGUAACGGCUCACCAAGGCGACGAUGCGUAGCCGACCUGAGAGGGUGAUCGGCCACAUUGGGACUGAGACACGGCCCAGACUCCUACGGGAGGCAGCAGUGGGGAAUAUUGCACAAUGGGGGAAACCCUGAUGCAGCAACGCCGCGUGAGUGAUGACGGCCUUCGGGUUGUAAAGCUCUGUCUUCAGGGACGAUAAUGACGGUACCCGAGGAGGAAGCCACGGCUAACUACGUGCCAGCCGCGGC